Callorhinus ursinus (northern fur seal) is the source of this 399-nucleotide long non-coding RNA. RefSeq lists it as uncharacterized. The record is from RefSeq and is a predicted model, not a curated record. Lineage: Eukaryota; Metazoa; Chordata; Mammalia; Carnivora; Otariidae.
AAUAGAAGUUCUAGAAGCUUCACAUACUUCCAUUUUCCUUUCUGUAGGGAGAAGCAGAUGGAUGACCAACAUUGCUCCAUUAAGGAGAAGAACAUUCAAUUGUGCUGUGUAACUUCUGGAGUAACUGAGAACACAAAGGAAGAGCACCCUUGGACAUCCCUUAUUGUGCCCUGCCCCGGGAGGACACACCCCGGAAAUUCGGUGUCAGUGUCAUCAGGAUGGCCUUGCCUCACUGUAGCUAAGGAGAGGCUGUGCUAGCCCUCACAGCAAAGGCAGCUACAGAAGACAAAUGCUACCAGGAUUUCCCGGCAAGCAAAGAAAUGAAGCCUGAGGAUUUUGUGCUUAGAGGUUUGGAAAUCUGGCAAAUGUGACAUUAAAAUGCAAGUAUUUCAUCUUGAA